RNAcentral lists this ribosomal RNA (792 nucleotides) under Triticum aestivum (bread wheat). Its description in RNAcentral is "partial small subunit ribosomal RNA". The record is from RNAcentral. Lineage: Eukaryota; Viridiplantae; Streptophyta; Magnoliopsida; Poales; Poaceae.
AUGAAGCAGAAUGAAUUGUAUGAAGGGUUGAGGAAGGUCAUGUAUCCAGCUAUUCGAAAGGAUAUUGAUGAGUCAAUGAUGAUGCAGAAGACUCCAAUGGGAGGGGAGGUGGGCUUGGAGGAUGCUUAUUGCGCGACAACACCGCACAAGAGUAGUUGUGCAUUAGCUGACCCCAACGACACUGAGACUGCAACUGCUCAUGAUGAUGCUAUAUCUGAUCUAUCUGGAAUGAAAGACAGACUGAAGGGCAUGCUUACACAUUAUGAAGGUACAUUAAAAUGUGCAACAGCCUGGGUUUGCCCAACCUUCUUGGAAGAGGGCCUCUUGUUGGACAACAUGCCAUUGAAGCCGGGCUGUGUGAAGUGCUACAUGACUGAAGUAAAGCCUGGAUUCAAUGAAUUUGCCGUGAAGAAUGUCCUAGGAGACUUUGAUGAGCAAAGGAACUUGGGAGAAACACUAUUACAUCACAUCCAGUGGCCACGAAAGGAAACACAGUUCAUCGAUGAGAUCCCUGAAGCCCCGCCAAGAGCAACCAAUGUCGCCCCUCAACCGGCGGCGCUCUCGUUGCCACAACAGCUCUCAUGUGCUUCCCCCAAAGAACCUAAUACUCGUAAUCCGACGGCUGAUGCAUCAACCUGUGAUCCGCCGGCCCGACUUUCUGCCGUACAGGCCAUGUCAUCGUUCGCCCCGGAGCAGCCAGUGGCAAGGCCUAGAACUGCUGAAGACACACCACCGGUUCAGAUGCCGGUCGCUAAAGCAGCGGGGGGAGACCCAGCUGCCGCACAUGCUUAG